CCAGCAGUGCGGUUAUACAAAUAAUAUGAUUUAAUUUAUUCAGUAAUAAUUAAUUAAUAUUUUAAAUUAAAAUUUAUAAGGUGAAAUUUUAAAUUUUUAAAAAAUUAAUAUUUAAUAAUGAAGUUAAAAAAUUUAAAAAAUAAACUAGGAUUAGAUACCCUUUUAAAUGUAAUUUAAAAUACUAAAUUAGUAAUAGUUAUGUUCUUGAAAAUUAAAAAUUUUGGCGGUAUUUUAGUCUAUUCAGAGGAACUUGUUCUGUAAUUGAUAAUCCACGAUUUAAUUUACUUUUUUUUUUAAUUUGUAUAUCGUCGUAAUUAGAAUAUUUUAUAAGAAUAAUAAUAUUCAAGAUUUUAAAUAAAAAGGUAAAUCAGAUCAAGGUGCAGUUUAUAAAAAAGUAGAAAUGAGUUACAGUAAUUUUAAUUUGGGAUUAUUAUUUAUAAAAUAAUAUGAAUAUGGAUUUGAAAGUAAAUUUAAUAAAUUAAUUAAAUUGAUUUAGCUCUAAGAUAUGUACACAUCGCCCG
Molecule: ribosomal RNA, 521 nt
Filed under: Platyphora albovirens
Lineage: Eukaryota; Metazoa; Arthropoda; Insecta; Coleoptera; Chrysomelidae
Description: partial 12S ribosomal RNA
Source: RNAcentral